AUUGAACGCUGGCGGCAGGCCUAACACAUGCAAGUCGAGCGGAUGAAGGGAGCUUGCUCCUGGAUUCAGCGGAGGACGGGUGAGUAAUGCCUAGGAAUCUGCCUGGCAGUGGGGGAUAACGUCCGGAAACGGGCGCUAAUACCGCAUACGUCCUGAGGGAGAAAGUGGGGGAUCUUCGGACCUCACGCUAUCAGAUGAGCCUAGGUCGGAUUAGCUAGUUGGUGGGGUAAAGGCCUACCAAGGCGACGAUCCGUAACUGGUCUGAGAGGAUGAUCAGUCACACUGGAACUGAGACACGGUCCAGACUCCUACGGGAGGCAGCAGUGGGGAAUAUUGGACAAUGGGCGAAAGCCUGAUCCAGCCAUGCCGCGUGUGUGAAGAAGGUCUUCGGAUUGUAAAGCACUUUAAGUUGGGAGGAAGGGCAGUAAGUUAAUACCUUGCUGUUUUGACGUUACCAACAGAAUAAGCACCGGCUAACUUCGUG
Molecule: ribosomal RNA, 484 nt
Filed under: uncultured bacterium
Lineage: Bacteria
Description: partial 16S ribosomal RNA
Rfam family: Bacterial small subunit ribosomal RNA
Source: RNAcentral